AUAUAUAUAUAUAUAUAUAUAUAUAUAUAUAUAUAUAUAUAUAUAUAUAUAUAUAUAAAAUCUCAAACAUGAUUUUUCUCUAACCUAAUAUACUGUCAUAAUUAUUUUACACCUAAAUUUUGGAUACAGUGUUAGAUCAAGUCCAGCACCAUUGCAACUAUCUGUCUUUUUUACUCUGGAGUUUACACAUGGAAACAAGCCUGAACAAACAUGACAUUUGUGUUUAACAGCAAAUCCCCAUCAAUUCCUAAUCUAAUCAGAUCUCAACAAUCAUAAAGAAAUCCGUAUCAAAACAUGGCACGCAGCCAGUGUUGCAGUGACUGUAGGAGCUGGCAUUGUGCAUCUGCAAAACUUCCUUUUGAAAUACUAAAUGGGAAUAGUGGAUCAAGGUGCACUUUAGGUUACAGUACAAGUGUCAGCGUCAUCAAAAACAGAAUGUAUGAGUUCAUUUGUUAUAGUUUGCAUUAUUUAUUUACCUGUUUGUAACAUAAUUUGUAUGUUACUUAGAUUGUUUUAGUCAGCUGAUUGUCUUUAUCUUCUGCAAAUCCAAUAAAGUCUGCUGGAUGUUUUGUUUCACUUAGAUGUGCUUUCGACACAGGGGCUGUCAGUUUCGUAUGGUUACAGUUCACAGUAUGUAUGUAAAGAAAACUCACAAUAUUCAGUAUGUAAUUUUAAUUAUGUACAUGAUAAAAUAUAUCUGCAACAUGCUUUCAGUGGAUUACCUUAUUUCUUAUUCCUUAAAAUACACCUUUUUUUUUUUCCUGAAAGUUUGCUUAAGGUUUUUGAUGUUGGCUUAAAAGAAUGAGACAGGGCGACCAGAAGUAGCCUAAAGAAACUGAAUGUUUUCUUUGAGGUGGUGUAUGCAGUGAAUAAAGCCAUCAAUCUGUCAAUAUUAGAAUCACAGACAUGAUUGCUUUUUCAAGCUUCUCUGCCAUUAAUACAAAUAGAUUUUUAAUGGUCACAGUGCUCUCAGAUAAAAUCAGAAUAAGAGAUUAAGGUUAAGAGAUUAGAUUAUAACACACUCUUAUCUAAUCUUACCUUUAUAAGUUAUAUAAUAUGAUAGUUUGUUGUGGUCACACAUUUGGUCUUGUAAUUAAGUCUUAA
Molecule: long non-coding RNA, 1104 nt
Organism: Astatotilapia calliptera (eastern happy)
Lineage: Eukaryota; Metazoa; Chordata; Actinopteri; Cichliformes; Cichlidae
Source: Ensembl